Molecule: long non-coding RNA, 2105 nt
Organism: Brienomyrus brachyistius
Lineage: Eukaryota; Metazoa; Chordata; Actinopteri; Osteoglossiformes; Mormyridae
Exons: 3
Source: RefSeq, a predicted model, not a curated record
GGGAAGACUUAAAGAGGAAAAAAAAUAAAAUGCGAAUUCAAGACAACUGCCAGCAGACCUCUAUAUACUUAUUCAUCACAGGAACUAUUGUAAAUGAAAGGUGUGAUCAAACUGGAGUAGGCUCGCGACAUACACAGGCCGAGUUUGUAGUUAAACAAGGCCGAGGUUAGCCCUUGCUAGGCAAGAACGUGGCUUAUGAAUUAGGAGUGCUCAGGGGAGGUGUCAACAUUGCUGCUGUGUCAGCUGUAAAAUCAAAAAUAAUGAGGCAGUUCCCAAAGUUAUUCGAUGGGGUGGGCAAGUUGAAGACCAAGCAGGUUUCCCUGCACAUACAUAAGAGUGUGACACUGGUAGUACAGCGUCUAAGACCAUUCCAUUUGAGGAGUGCGGUAGAAAAUAGAAUCAAACAAUUGCUGGCUGGCUAUAGCAGCCGAUUCAUUACAUAGUUUGCAAGCAUAUCCAAACCUCUGCAUAGAGUAACCAAAAAGGAUACAAUAUUUGAGUUUGGGCCUGACCAGAGGAGAGCUUUCUAGAUUGCUGAAGGAAAAACUGGCAGAAGGAAGCACACUGGCAUAUUAUGAAAGUAAUUGCAGAUGCAGGGCAGGUGGGUCUAGGAGCAGUGCUUGUGCAGGAACAGGUUGUGCAGAGAAAUGGUUCCUAUAUGCUGUUUGAGUAGAAGCCUGACUGAGUGCGAGUGGAGAUACUCAAAAACUGAGGAAGCGCUAGCACUAGUUUGGGCUUGCAAAAGACUAUCCAUAUAAAUACGGUAAACGAUUUGAUUUGGCAACUGAUUACAAGGCCCUAGAGAUCAUACUGUAUACGACCCUGUAUCAAAACCAUGUGCCCAUAUAAAGUUGCAGCCAUAUGACUUAUGAGUUGUUCACAUCCCAGGGAAGGACAACAUUGGUGACCCCCUUGUCUAGGCUGCUGGGGAAACAGAGGACACAAGAGGAGCACUCCCAUGGCGCAGAGGACUACGUGCGAUUCAUGGUUGUGAAUGCAACCCCUUGGGCCAUGACCACCAAGGAGAUUGAGGAGGCCUCUGCAGUCGACAAGGAACUUGGAUAGACGCACAGCGACGGACUGAGGGUCAGCGCAUCAGUCUACUGCAGACCCGGAAGUGACGAGCGGUGCAUCGGAUUGUCGUGGGCGGGGUCUGGACGGAGAGGCGGAGCCGAAAGUGCAGCCGGCGAAUCGGGACGAGGGCAGGAGGUCCGAAGAAUUUGUAGACCUUCUCUCAAACUUACGGCACGUAACACAUGGACAAAUCGUUACACUCGCACACAUGCAAAAAUACAUACAGAUAUAGGUAUACAUCCACACUCAUCUGUACACCACACACAUGCACAUACACACAUAACCAAUAGUACACAUACAGAGGUAGAGGCUACACACAUGACUAUUUUAAUGAUAAUAAAUUUGUAUUAUGUUGUGCUUAGUGUUGCUGUUACUAUUAAUUAUGUUCCCAUUAUGGGAAUAAGGAGGCAAGUGGCCGAAAACUAACUUUAUUUGGCUGCUAUGGGCCAUAGGCACGGCGUACACUUUUGUAUUCAAAAGAACAAGCCGUAGAACAGUGCUGCACUACACCCAUUCCUUACUUAUUCUACCCCCCCCGUUGUCUCUCUCCUUCCCCACAGCCUCUCUCCACUCUCCCGCCUCCUGUCGCUCAUCCCACACACUCUCCCCAGGAUGGGUGCACGCCCACAGAAAAUAUCCCUCCCAGCAACAUGUGUAACACCAUUCCUGAACACGCUACAAUAUUAUUGUAUCACAGUUGCAGCUGCAUUUGUUAUCAAUGAUGUUAUUGAUAUUACUGUUGUUAUUAUUGUUGCUGCUAGUUGUUGUUUCAUUUUUAUAUUAUUUUAUUACUAUUAUUUUCAUUUUGUUUUUCUUUGUUUUGUCUGUUUCUUGUCUUUUUUGUGUGGCAGUGUGCUCCUAUUUUCUUUAUUUACCCCCCAUACUUCUUCCCCCCACCCCUGUUCUCUGUCUCCCCUAACCUCUGCUUCUUGUCUUCGUUAUAUAAAAAAGAAGAAAAAAAGAACGAAUAAACGAUUCAAAGAAUCAAAUCAUUUCAGUGAACUGAAUGAAAUUAAUGGAAUCACUAAAAA